UCUUGUUAACUGAUGUGUGUCAGCCC
RNAcentral lists this non-coding RNA (26 nucleotides) under Rattus norvegicus (Norway rat). The record is from RNAcentral. Lineage: Eukaryota; Metazoa; Chordata; Mammalia; Rodentia; Muridae.